CGCUGCGCGUGGACCGCGGCGUUUGCUCUCGUGUGACGAGGACAGCUGGAGGCUCUGAGAGCUCGCUUCACUUCACAGGCAGCUUUCCUUGUAACGUAAAUCAGAACAGAGAACCUGAUCUUAAGACUCCUGAUAAGAAACACAAGAUUUUUUUUUAAAGAAAGAAAAGAUACACAAGAUUAUUCUGAGGGUAGCAUCACUUAUGGAGCCUUCUCUGGAAAAGGCAUACAUUACCGAUAAGACACAUUCAGUCUGCUGGGAGAUUAAGAAGCUUCAAACAUCUGGACAACAGGAUGAGAGACAGGCUUCUCUUAGCAAUGAGCCUUCUGAAGGCAGAGAAUGUAACAUGAGAUGACUGUGCCCGAAAAUGUGCUGAUUCUGCCUAGAAACCCAGCAGCUUAGGACAAUGGACCAGAAAAGGGUCUAGGGUCUGGUUUGACAUAGAAACCCACCAUUAAUCGAGUCCUUUCUUUGUGUGUAAUCUUGAUCAGUUUUAAUAAUCAUUCAUUAAACUGCUAUUUUAUAGCUACAGAGAAAGAAUACUGUUAUUAAUUCAAAUACUAGAAUUCUGAACAAAGCCAUCUUUUUCCAACUUAUUUGCAUUGAGAUUUAAUGACAUCUUACUUUCUCUGUUCAUUCUAUGAUUUAGAAAUUAUCAAUUCAGCAACGUCUAAAUUAAAAGACAUUUUAGAGAUAUGCUUUGGCUUUCACAGAUGCUCUCUUAGUUCUCAUUUCAGACAGCUUUGAAGACUGGGCUAACAGCAUGCUAUGUGUAACUUAGCCUCUGUGUGUGUUCACAGACCAGCUGGCUAUUAUAUGGCUCUAAUAUUGACUUUCAG
Non-coding RNA from Microcebus murinus (gray mouse lemur), 839 nucleotides. The record is from RefSeq and is a predicted model, not a curated record. Lineage: Eukaryota; Metazoa; Chordata; Mammalia; Primates; Cheirogaleidae.